RNAcentral lists this long non-coding RNA (710 nucleotides) under Mus caroli (Ryukyu mouse). RNAcentral's name for it is "lncRNA (MGP_CAROLIEiJ_G0005901.1)". Lineage: Eukaryota; Metazoa; Chordata; Mammalia; Rodentia; Muridae. The record is from RNAcentral.
UGGGAAGAUGUGACAAGAUGGGUACACAGCCCCCAAACAGAAAUUCUUCACCCAGUUCAGCAGGAAGCAAUUAUCAGAAGACCGUCGUCCCAAGCCCUUAAGUUGAGUGUGUGACGGCCAGCGAGUCUGCUUGUGAGAAAAGGAGAUACUUACCACACAAGCCCAGCGCUGUGUCAGCCUUUCCAUUCUCGAGUUGUAUGUGGAACGCCUCAUGGGUGCGCGCCAGGGAAGCAUGGGAGUACAGCAAGGUGUAAGUAAGCAAGCUCAAGAGAAGCUCGGUCAGGUCUGCGAGUGAGCAAGCAGGAGGCCCGACAGCCUCCAGGAACCCCCCCCCCCACGCUCCCACCCCCGCUUUCUUCUAACGGGGCUUGCUUUACUCUCACCAAGGACAGAAUGUAUUCUGGAAAACUCAGCCAAGGAACCUCGUGUUCGUUUUAUUCACGUGCCUUCCCCAUAAAGGCGGGCCACUCACAGUGAGAGUAACACAGACAGCGAAGACACUGGCUCCUUUCAGUCUUUCCCUACUCCUCAUUAGGCGUAGUCAGAAAGCACCCGUGGAGUAUGUCUCAUUGAAACGUGAAACACAUGCAGUACUGUGCUGUGUUUUCCCAGGUCUGCUUAAAAGCAAAAUGCAUGCACGUGUGUGGGACACAAACCACAAACCAUGAUUUGAUUUGGGUAAUUCUGAAAUCUGAAUAGAAUUUGAACGG